AUGCUGGAGGUAUCAGAAGUGCGAAUGCUGACAUAAGUAACGAUAAAGCGGGUGAAAAGCCCGCUCGCCGGAAGACCAAGGGUUCCUGUCCAACGUUAAUCGGGGCAGGGUGAGUCGACCCCUAAGGCGAGGCCGAAAGGCGUAGUCGAUGGGAAACAGGUUAAUAUUCCUGUACUUGGUGUUACUGCGAAGGGGGGACGGAGAAGGCUAUGUUGGCCGGGCGACGGUUGUCCCGGUUUAAGCGUGUAGGCUGGUUUUCCAGGCAAAUCCGGAAAAUCAAGGCUGAGGCGUGAUGACGAGGCACUACGGUGCUGAAGCAACAAAUGCCCUGCUUCCAGGAAAAGCCUCUAAGCAUCAGGUAACAUCAAAUCGUACCCCAAACCGACACAGGUGGUCAGGUAGAGAAUACCAAGGCGCUUGAGAGAACUCGGGUGAAGGAACUAGGCAAAAUGGUGCCGUAACUUCGGGAGAAGGCACGCUGAUAUGUAGGUGAAGCGACUUGCUCGUGGAGCUGAAAUCAGUCGAAGAUACCAGCUGGCUGCAACUGUUUAUUAAAAACACAGCACUGUGCAAACACGAAAGUGGACGUAUACGGUGUGACGCCUGCCCGGUGCCGGAAGGUUAAUUGAUGGGGUUAGCG
Molecule: ribosomal RNA, 640 nt
Filed under: Escherichia coli
Lineage: Bacteria; Pseudomonadati; Pseudomonadota; Gammaproteobacteria; Enterobacterales; Enterobacteriaceae
Description: bacterial LSU rRNA
Rfam family: Bacterial large subunit ribosomal RNA
Source: RNAcentral